GUCGGACGCACAACGUCUUAAAGGAGUGUUGAUUUUAAAGUGUUAUUGGUUUUUUUUAAAUUGGAGUAAACAUUGACAGGUUGUACCGUCCACAAUGACUUCCAACGAGGAAACAGAAGAACAUGAUCUGUUUGCGCACAAUCACAAACAGACCACAGCUGAAAGACCAUUUGUCAAGAUGAGAGCAGAUUCCAAAAUCCCAUGGAGUGCGUCCAUGAGGUCUGACCCGUCUAAGCACGAAGGAAUUGAAUUCAAGGAAAAAAGAUUUGGUGUUUAUUUAUGGUAAGACUAUGCUGUGAAAUUUGGUUAAUUAGAAAAACAAGUGUUGCAAUCGUUUUAUAACAUGAAAUGUGACAAUUGAAAAUUUAUCUUGGGUUAAAGUCU
Molecule: long non-coding RNA, 384 nt
Organism: Austrofundulus limnaeus
Lineage: Eukaryota; Metazoa; Chordata; Actinopteri; Cyprinodontiformes; Rivulidae
Exons: 3
Source: RefSeq, a predicted model, not a curated record